Molecule: long non-coding RNA, 506 nt
Organism: Mastomys coucha (southern multimammate mouse)
Lineage: Eukaryota; Metazoa; Chordata; Mammalia; Rodentia; Muridae
Exons: 3
Source: RefSeq, a predicted model, not a curated record
CCCAAACUUGGGGUGUAGUUUUCUAGUGGAUUUUUCUUGGGGUGGCCAAUAGCAGCGAUGGACGUAGGCCUCGGCUCUUGCCACCCUUCCAGACUGUCCUCAAGAAAAUCUACUCUCCUUUCUGGACUAUGAGACUCAGCCUGGCUUUCUGCCCUGCUCGGAACCUCAGCUAUCUACAGACGUGGAUGGGACAGAGUCUAUAUCCAUGAGAUUGUAACAGAAGGGGACUUGAAAGGAAGAUGGCUGUAAUGUCAAAAAUCCCACCCAGAAAAGAGGUUGCCACAUGGCAGGACCUCAUCCCAUGGAAUGCUGCCACCACAGGUAAGGUGGUGGGUCUUCCCACCCCAAUUAUGCUGAUCUACUAAUUCCUCACAAACAUGCCUACAACUUGUCUCAAAGGUCACCCUGCCACACAUCCUGGCAGUCAAUAGUAACUGUUCUAGAUGAUAAAGACCUUAAAAGCCCUUGAGAGUACCCGGCUAAGGCCCACAAAGAAGAGUUGUAUU